Molecule: long non-coding RNA, 352 nt
Organism: Sorghum bicolor (sorghum)
Lineage: Eukaryota; Viridiplantae; Streptophyta; Magnoliopsida; Poales; Poaceae
Exons: 3
Source: RefSeq, a predicted model, not a curated record
GUCUUCGAAUGGAAACCUAGGUGGCUGCUCAUAUCUACUUCAGGUUUGGAUUUGGGAGCGUUUUCCAGUUGGAAGGCCCACUAAACCUCCGGGUUUGCCUGUAUGGGUGCAUGAAGAUGUUGGACCCACCGCCCUUUUCCUCUGGACAGAUGCUAAGGUAGUCAGGGGCGAAGCAGACAGGAGGUACAGGCAGUACACUGACGAGCUAGACGUGUUGACACACAACUACGUCACAUGGUCACCGUGGUCUCGGUGGGAGCUAGAGGGGUACCUUAGUCCACGCUGCGAGGAGGAGGAUAGCGAUUGGCUUUACGAUGGCCCACUCAUCUUCUUCCACGUGGUCGAGAUGCAC